RNAcentral lists this ribosomal RNA (430 nucleotides) under Pseudomonadota bacterium. RNAcentral describes it as "Proteobacteria bacterium partial 16S ribosomal RNA". It matches the Rfam family "Bacterial small subunit ribosomal RNA", at positions 355 to 776 of the family's 1533-position model. Lineage: Bacteria; Pseudomonadati; Pseudomonadota. The record is from RNAcentral.
UGGGGAAUAUUGGACAAUGGGGGGAACCCUGAUCCAGCCAUGCCGCGUGUGUGAAGAAGGCCUUAUGGUUGUAAAGCACUUUAAGCGAGGAGGAGGGUACUGGUAUUAAUACUACCAGGUACUGGACGUUACUCGCAGAAUAAGCACCGGCUAACUCUGUGCCAGCAGCCGCGGUAAUACAGAGGGUGCGAGCGUUAAUCGGAUUUACUGGGCGUAAAGCGUGCGUAGGCGGCUAAUUGAGUCGGAUGUGAAAUCCCCGAGCUUAACUUGGGAAUUGCAUUCGAUACUGGUUAGCUAGAGUGUGGGAGAGGAUGGUAGAAUUCCAGGUGUAGCGGUGAAAUGCGUAGAGAUCUGGAGGAAUACCAAUGGCGAAGGCAGCCAUCUGGCCUAACACUGACGCUGAGGUACGAAAGCAUGGGGAGCAAACAGG